AGUGAACGCUGGCGGUAGGCCUAACACAUGCAAGUCGAACGGCAGCACAGUAAGAGCUUGCUCUUACGGGUGGCGAGUGGCGGACGGGGGAGGAAUACAUCGGAAUCUACUUUUUCGUGGGGGAUAACGUAGGGAAACUUACGCUAAUCCCGCAUACGACCUACGGGUGAAAGCAGGGGAUCUUCGGACCUUGCGCGAUUGAAUGAGCCGAUGUCGGAUUAGCUAGUUGGCGGGGUAAAGGCCCACCAAGGCGACGAUCCGUAGCUGGUCUGAGAGGAUGAUCAGCCACACUGGAACUGAGACACGGUCCAGACUCCUACGGGAGGCAGCAGUGGGGAAUAUUGGACAAUGGGCGCAAGCCUGAUCCAGCCAUACCGCGUGGGUGAAGAAGGCCUUCGGGUUGUAAAGCCCUUUUGUUGGGAAAGAAAAGCAGCAGGUUAAUACCCCGCUGUUCUGACGGUACCCAAAGAAUAAGCACCGGCUAACUUCGUG
This 492-nucleotide ribosomal RNA is filed under the name uncultured bacterium. RNAcentral describes it as "partial 16S ribosomal RNA". It matches the Rfam family "Bacterial small subunit ribosomal RNA", at positions 29 to 507 of the family's 1533-position model. The record is from RNAcentral.